This 406-nucleotide ribosomal RNA is filed under the name uncultured bacterium. RNAcentral's name for it is "partial 16S ribosomal RNA". It matches the Rfam family "Bacterial small subunit ribosomal RNA", at positions 30 to 526 of the family's 1533-position model. The record is from RNAcentral.
AUUGAACGCUGGCGGCAGGCCUAACACAUGCAAGUCGAGCGAGCGGCGGACGGGUGCGUAAUGUCUGGGAAACUGCCUGAUGGAGGGGGAUAACUCCUGGAAACGGUAUCUAAUACCGCAUACCAUCAGAUGUGCGCAGAUGGGAUUAGCUAGUAGGUGGGGUACUGGCGCACCUAGGCGACGAUCCCUAGCUGGUCUGAGAGGAUGACCAGCCACACUGGAACUGAGACACGGUCCAGACUCCGACGGGAGGCAGCAGUGGGGAAUAUUGCACAAUGGGCGCAAGCCUGAUGCAGCCAUGCCGCGGGUGUGAAGAAGGCCUUCGGGUUGUAAAGCACUUUCGGCAGGGAGGCGUUACCCGCAGAAGAAGCACCGGCUAACUCCGUGCCAGCAGCCGCGGUAAUUC